RNAcentral lists this ribosomal RNA (465 nucleotides) under uncultured Stenotrophomonas sp. RNAcentral describes it as "bacterial SSU rRNA". It matches the Rfam family "Bacterial small subunit ribosomal RNA", at positions 338 to 795 of the family's 1533-position model. Lineage: Bacteria; Pseudomonadati; Pseudomonadota; Gammaproteobacteria; Lysobacterales; Lysobacteraceae. The record is from RNAcentral.
CCUACGGGGGGCAGCAGUGGGGAAUAUUGGACAAUGGGCGCAAGCCUGAUCCAGCCAUACCGCGUGGGUGAAGAAGGCCUUCGGGUUGUAAAGCCCUUUUGUUGGGAAAGAAAUCCAGCUGGCUAAUACCCGGUUGGGAUGACGGUACCCAAAGAAUAAGCACCGGCUAACUUCGUGCCAGCAGCCGCGGUAAUACGAAGGGUGCAAGCGUUACUCGGAAUUACUGGGCGUAAAGCGUGCGUAGGUGGUCGUUUAAGUCCGUUGUGAAAGCCCUGGGCUCAACCUGGGAACUGCAGUGGAUACUGGGCGACUAGAGUGUGGUAGAGGGUAGCGGAAUUCCUGGUGUAGCAGUGAAAUGCGUAGAGAUCAGGAGGAACAUCCAUGGCGAAGGCAGCUACCUGGACCAACACUGACACUGAGGCACGAAAGCGUGGGGAGCAAACAGGAUUAGAUACCCUGGUAGUC